ACAUACCUGAACUUGUCUGACAGAGUUGAGUGAUGUCCAGAUGUGUGGUCUGGUUUCUGAUGGGAUUGUUGAGCACACAGCUGUAGGUGUUUUUCUCCUGAUAUUCCACCUCCAGAGUGUAAUUUGUUGAUGUUUGUGAUGGUCAGAGAUCCUGUCUGCUCAUCUAUCUUUAGUCUGUCUCUGAAUCUCUCAUUAUUCUCUUUAUUAUCAUAUAUAGAGACGAUCUGUUUAUAGAUUUCACCGAUACGAGUCUCUGAACUGUUAAGUCUAAAUGACCACAGUAUCUGAUCAUCUCUCUGUAGUUCAGUAACAUCAGUGUUUAAAGUGACAGAAUCUCCCUCCAUCACUGAUAUCACUGUUUCAUCUGAAUAAACAUCACACACACC
Molecule: long non-coding RNA, 386 nt
Organism: Cyprinus carpio carpio
Lineage: Eukaryota; Metazoa; Chordata; Actinopteri; Cypriniformes; Cyprinidae
Source: Ensembl